RNAcentral lists this non-coding RNA (109 nucleotides) under Salimicrobium jeotgali. Its description in RNAcentral is "TPP sequence". It matches the Rfam family "TPP riboswitch aptamer (THI element)". From Rfam's summary of the family: Vitamin B(1) in its active form thiamin pyrophosphate (TPP) is an essential coenzyme that is synthesised by coupling of pyrimidine and thiazole moieties in bacteria. The previously detected thiamin-regulatory element, thi box was extended, resulting in a new, highly conserved RNA secondary structure, the THI element, which is widely distributed in eubacteria and also occurs in some archaea. Lineage: Bacteria; Bacillati; Bacillota; Bacilli; Caryophanales; Bacillaceae. The record is from Rfam by way of RNAcentral.
AUCAACUACUAGGGGUGUCCGUGGAACGGACUGAGAGGAAAGAAUGACUUUCCGACUCUCUGGACCUGAUCUGGAUCAUACCAGCGUGGGGAAGUAGUCAACAUACCAU